GACGAACGCUGGCGGCGUGCCUAAUACAUGCAAGUCGAACGCUGACGGAGGAGCUUGCUUCUCUGGAUGAGUUGCGAACGGGUGAGUAACGCGUAGGUAACCUGCCUGGUAGCGGGGGAUAACUAUUGGAAACGAUAGCUAAUACCGCAUAAUAGUAGAUGUUGCAUGACAUUUGCCUAAAAGGUGCAAUUGCAUCACUACCAGAUGGACCUGCGUUGUAUUAGCUAGUUGGUGGGGUAACGGCUCACCAAGGCGACGAUACAUAGCCGACCUGAGAGGGUGAUCGGCCACACUGGGACUGAGACAAGGCCCAGACUCCUACGGGAGGCAGCAGUAGGGAAUCUUCGGCAAUGGACGGAAGUCUGACCGAGCAACGCCGCGUGAGUGAAGAAGGUUUUCGGAUCGUAAAGCUCUGUUGUAAGAGAAGAACGAGUGUGAGAGUGGAAAGUUCACACUGUGACGGUAUCUUACCAGAAAGGGACGGCUAACUACGUG
This 495-nucleotide ribosomal RNA is filed under the name uncultured bacterium. RNAcentral's name for it is "partial 16S ribosomal RNA". It matches the Rfam family "Bacterial small subunit ribosomal RNA", at positions 28 to 507 of the family's 1533-position model. The record is from RNAcentral.